CCUACGGGCGGCAGCAGUGGGGGAUAUUGCACAAUGGGGGAAACCCUGAUCCAGCGACGCCGCGUGAGUGAAGAAGUAUUUCGGUAUGUAAAGCUCUAUCAGCCGGGAAGAAAAUGACAGUACCUGACCAAGAAGCCCCGGCUAACUACGUGCCAGCAGCCGCGGUAAUACGUAGGGGGCAACCGUUAUCCGGAUUUACUGGGUGUAAAGGGGGCGUAGACGGUUAUGUAAGUCUGAAGUGAAAGCCCGGGGCCCAACCCCUGCACUGCUUUGGAAACUGUGUAACUGGAGUACAGGAGGGGCAGGCGGAAGUCCUGGUGUAGCGGUGAAAUGCGUAGAUAGCAGGAGGAACACCGGCGGCGAAGGCGGCUUGCUGGACUGAAACUGACGUUGAGGCUCGAAAGCGUGGGGAGCAAACAGGAUUAGAUACCCCAGUAGUC
RNAcentral lists this ribosomal RNA (440 nucleotides) under uncultured bacterium. RNAcentral's name for it is "partial 16S ribosomal RNA". It matches the Rfam family "Bacterial small subunit ribosomal RNA", at positions 338 to 795 of the family's 1533-position model. The record is from RNAcentral.